Molecule: ribosomal RNA, 536 nt
Filed under: Rhodococcus jostii
Lineage: Bacteria; Bacillati; Actinomycetota; Actinomycetes; Mycobacteriales; Nocardiaceae
Description: bacterial SSU rRNA
Rfam family: Bacterial small subunit ribosomal RNA
Source: RNAcentral
AUGGGCGAAAGCCUGAUGCAGCGACGCCGCGUGAGGGAUGACGGCCUUCGGGUUGUAAACCUCUUUCAGCAGGGACGAAGCGAAAGUGACGGUACCUGCAGAAGAAGCACCGGCUAACUACGUGCCAGCAGCCGCGGUAAUACGUAGGGUGCAAGUGUUGUCCGGAAUUACUGGGCGUAAAGAGUUCGUAGGCGGUUUGUCGCGUCGUUUGUGAAAACUCACAGCUCAACUGUGAGCCUGCAGGCGAUACGGGCAGACUUGAGUACUGCAGGGGAGACUGGAAUUCCUGGUGUAGCGGUGAAAUGCGCAGAUAUCAGGAGGAACACCGGUGGUGAAGGCGGGUCUCUGGGCAGUAACUGACGCUGAGGAACGAAAGCGUGGGUAGCAAACAGGAUUAGAUACCCUGGUAGUCCACGCCGUAAACGGUGGGCGCUAGGUGUGGGUUCCUUCCACGGGAUCUGUGCCGUAGCUAACGCAUUAAGCGCCCCGCCUGGGGAGUACGGCCGCAAGGCUAAAACUCAAAGGAAUUGACGGGG